AGAGUAAAGACGUCCCACCGUUACUUUGGCCUGUUUGGUCGUAUCUGGUUGGUUUACUGAUUGAUGAAUGGACGAGGUCGUCUCCGUGAUUGGUAGUUCCGGCAAGGGUUUUGUACUGCAGAAAUUAAAGAUAAAGAACCUUCAUGAGAAUAACUAUAACAUAAGUGAUAAACGGGA
Molecule: small RNA, 177 nt
Filed under: Arabidopsis thaliana (thale cress)
Lineage: Eukaryota; Viridiplantae; Streptophyta; Magnoliopsida; Brassicales; Brassicaceae
Description: ATSL006810
Source: RNAcentral